UCCCGCGCGGCGCGGAAGAGGGGAGGGGAUCCCCCAGCUCACGGGUCAUGCGAGGGUGCGGGGCAGGGGCGGCCGCCCCGGGCAUCUGCGGUCUCUGAAGCCGAGGCCUCCCCGCUCGGUCCCACCCCUCGCAACAAGGCCCACCGCCGGCCUCCGCCUGGCUCCUGGGCUAGGUCCGCUGCUCGCGGGGUCCGCUCUCGGGAGGAAAAGUUCCACACGGAGGAUGCGGCGCUGGUUUCAGCCUGCAGCGUCCGAGGCUCCUCCUCCCGCGCUGCCGAGGGAGGCGGGCUGCGCUCUUUUCCGGGCCCUGCCACACAAUGUUGCCUUCAGGGAGGGAGACCUUCGCAGCCUUUCUGCAUUCCCUCCCUCCGCCCGGGGGUGUGGGGCCGGAAGCUGCGGCGUCUCGGGUCGGGGUUUGCUCCCGCCGAGCCUUGAGCCGUUGGUGCGCAUGCUCUGUGGAGGCCCGCACAGGCCCUGAGUGAACUCUGAUAGAGCCUUCGCAAGGCGAGCCCCAGAUUCGCAAUGAAGAGCCCCACGCCACAUGAAAUGUGAGCAAGUCCACCCACCUCAUCUACCCUGGCGGCCAGUUCCUCGUUGGACCAGAUCCCUUCUAUCAUAAGCUCCUCCUCAGCACAUGGUUAUUACUGGAAUGCUGGUGGUUUGGGCAACUCUUUUUCUGGUGAGAUGGUGCAGUGGGAAGGUACAUCCCACUUCCAGCGGGUUGUCCCUCGGUGCUGGCUUGGCUUCUUGGGAAAAGAGUGAAGAAUCAGAGCCUACACGCUGCUGCUGAGCUCCACAGCCUCCAUCUUGCCUCCUCCUGUUUAGACGAUGCGGGUCCUAGUUCUGGGAAGCCCUUCCACCGGAUCGCAGAGCCUCUCUGAACUUCAGGCUCCUCAUCUAUAAAAUGGACCUCCCAAGGUGGUGGUUUAGUGCUGUCAGGGACAUGUUGGCAGGNGGACCGUGUGAGCUGUUGUGUCCACAGUAGCCUGGAAAGGGUGAGGGCAAAGGGCUGGGGGACCGGUCAGAAGGCACCUACCACAAUCCAGGUAGGAGGUGACAGUGCUGCAGCCAGGCUGCACGGCGAAGGAUGGGAGGGGCCCCCGGAGAAACCUGAAUCAGGUACCACAGUAACGGGGAACGUGGAGGAGGGCGUGAUUCACUCCAAGGCCGCUUUCCCAGGGGAUGUGACUCAGGCAGGAUUUUGAAAAAUGAGCAGUUCAGCAGGCACUCAAGAGGGUGAGAACAUUCCAACACCGGUGUGCCGGGGCCCCAUUGAGAGGGAGCCAGGCCUGUUUGGGGACCUAUGAAGCAGCAUCACAUCAGAGCAGAAGGGUCAGGGGAGGCCAGAUGGGGAAGGAGCUCGCCGCUCUGCCAAGGGUGUUGUCCUCUGGGCGCCAGGGAGUUCAGGAAGAAUUUUAAGCCUGGGGGCCGGUGGUGCUUAAGACCUAAAACUUGCUAUUAAGAAAAGUCCCGUGGUCACCAUGAACGGCCUGGGGGGAGGUGGCAGGGAAAACCCAGAGGGGAAGCAGAAAAUGAGGGCUGACCCCGGGGCAGUGGGAGAGAGGGAAGGAGGCAUGAGAACCGUUUAGGGAGAAGAGAGGACCAGGGCCGUGUGGGUUUGGGGAAAGAGGAGCAGGCUGUUUUGAGGAAGAGAAUGAGUCAUGUGGGGGCCGGCUGAAUUGGAGGAUCCACUGGGGGAUCAGACAGCCAAGCCCCAGAGCAGCCGAUGUUGGAGUCUGGAGCUCAGCGGAGGGGACUUGGGUCCAGAAGCCUCAAGGGACAGGUGGCAUUUAAGCUGUGGAAGGCCACCAGCUAAAAGGCAUCUCCAGAUUUUUACCUUUAGUAAGAUCUGAAUAGAGGUAUAUUUCCCUCCUCUUUGCCUCUUUCCCAAGGCCUUUGAGAGAUACAGUGAGAAAAACAUUCUUGAGGGUAAAGAGGAGGGAUCCAGGAGGGGAUCCUCCUAGGGCAGCACGGAGGAAUCCCUGGGCUGGUCCCACUUCACCCCACGGUGUCUGCGGGCAGAGGGGCCUGGAUAGGCAGGGCUCUUGGUAUCCAUUGUCCGUGGGUCUCUGCAUGCAGAUAUGUAAAGUUAUGUGUUUUCAUCUCCCCGUGAUUCCUGUUUUCCUGCAGCCCUUCCCGCUGAGGCGUAUUGCCCAAUGAAGUUGGAGGGGUGAAUUCGAAGCAAGACCUCAAGCAGGGGGUGAAGCGGACAUGAUGUAGAGAAGCUGCUGCUGAUGGCAAUGGGACCAGAAAAGGGGGGCCUAAGGGAGAACAUGAGAAGCAAAAAGGGCAGCCCCUUAACCUUCAACCUCAGAGGCUCGUGAGGGAGAAACCCAGUCAGGUCUGAGGGGAGAUCUCACAGCAAGGGGGUGGGUGGGACUUGACUCAGAUUGCAGUGGGGAGAAAUUUUAAUGACACCCCCUCCCUAGCAAACCAGCGAUGCAAGAUGGUGCCAGCACAAUAUGGUGCCAGUCAGGAGGUGGUUUGGAAUGGCUGAGGAAGGGAGUCUGGGAAGUGGCUUCAUGCAACGCUGCUCGUUCUAGUGAGAAUGCAGCCAGGUAGUCCUAGGUCCCAGGGGCCGCAGAGCCAAGAUCUGCCUCACCAGCUAUGUGCAGGGACCAUGCACUUUGGCUUCACCUCUUCCUGCCCCUACCCCACCAGCAAGCCCCAGGGACCAGAACCAUCUCUGUCCUGCGUGUGUGUGUGUGUGUGUGUGUGUGUGUGUGUGUGUAAGAAUGCAGGGGACUCCACUCAGACCUUCAACCCUCUUGUCCCACCACCGUGAGGCCCAUGAACAUCUCUCUGCACCAGGAAAUUAUCUUGGCUGGGAGAAGGCGGAAGGGUGAGAAAACCUUGGAAUACUGAGCAAUUUUACUCAAAAGAGACUGAGUUAAUCAUACAGAAAUGGAGCUAUGUCUAAGGGGCAAUUUAAUGGUUUCUUUUUGUUUGUUUUCUUUUUGCCCGUCAGUAGUAGGAAUUAUCAGAUCACGAUGAGAAGAGUAUAAGAAAAAGUAAGAACAAUACUGAUUUGACCCAUCUGGGUAGGUGUGUGUGUGUGAUCUUUAGCCCUCCCACAAUUAUGUCUGUACACGUUUGCUGGGGCAACUGUAUAUUUUCAAUUCCAAUCGUCAGACCUUUCCUUGAAGCUCACGUGUGUUUUGAUCUGGCCAGGAAUUGAGAAUCAUAAAAUCAUUAAAUCUGUAUUAAUUACCUAUUGCUGCAUAGUAAGUUAAUCCAAAAUUUAGCUGAAAUAAAUAUGUAUUAUCUCA
This 3269-nucleotide long non-coding RNA is filed under the name Sus scrofa (pig). Its description in RNAcentral is "lncRNA (ENSSSCG00025025338.1)". The record is from RNAcentral. Lineage: Eukaryota; Metazoa; Chordata; Mammalia; Artiodactyla; Suidae.